AUCAAAAGAGAUUAAGUCAGUAGCGGUGAGCGAAAGCUUAAAAGCCAUAUAAAAGUACAGCGUGAAAAUGUUGGAAGACAGGAGUACCAAUCUUCUAAGGCUAAAUAUAAUAAACACACCGAUAGUGAACAAAGUAACGUGAGUGAAAAUAUGAAAGAGAAAUACAAGGUAUUUAGUGAAAUAGAUCAUGAAAUUGAAUACUGACAAGCAUUAAGAGUCUUUAAGAGAUGAUUAAGUACCUUUUGUAUAAUGGAUUUGUUAGUUUUCGUAAAUUGCAAGGCAAGAGCCGUAGGGAAACCGAGUAUUAAAUAUGCAAAAAACUAUUAAAAAUAAAUAGUAAUUUCUUAUAUUUGGAAAUUUAUUAGUAAUUUACGAAAUGACCCGAAACCGAGUGAUCUUAACAUGAGCAGUUUGAAUGUCCGGUAACUCUGGACGGGAGGAACGAACUAGUGGUUGUUGCAAAAACCUUGGAUGACUUGUGUUAAGGGGUGAAAGGCCAAUCGAACUCGGAGAUAGCUGGUUUUCUGCGAAAAAUAUUUAGGUAUUGCGUUUUAUUUUUAAUUUUCAGGGUCUCGCUCUGAUUCUGUAUUUGGUGUUCUUCUGGAACAUACUUUAUGGAGUUAACCGAACAAUAUGAAAUUAUUUAAAUAAAGCAGACAGACUUAGGGUGAUAAGGUCCUAAGUCAAGAGGGAAACAACCCAGAUUUAAAGUUAAGGUCUUAAAUUUAUAUUUAGUGCAUAAGGACAGUAUUAUAAAUAUAUAAGAAUUCUUAUAUAUUUAUCAUUAAUUUUAUUUUUUUUUAGUAAGAUUUUUGAUCACUAAGACAACUAAAAAGUAGGCUUGGAAACAGCCAUCUUUUAAAGAGAACGUAACAGUUCAUUAGACUAGUGAUAAUGCACCAAAAAUUUUGGUGACUAAAUAUAAAACCGAAACUUAAGUUUUUUUAAAGGUAGCAGAACAUUCUAUAUUUUUAAAUAUAGAAGAGACAAUGCAAAUAUGAGUAACUGUAAUAAACUUGAAAGAAGUUUACACCGGAAUCUUAAGGUUUCCAACUCACUGAUAAACAUAGUUGGGUACGACUCAGUCCCUAAGACUAUAUCUGAAAAGAUUUGUUAAUGGGGAUGUCUUCUUUAGACCCUAGUUUUAGGCUGGAAAGAUAGGAAGAAAAAAAUCUAAUUUUUUAUUUAGAUUUUAAUAACUGUACUAAAACUGACACAAGUGAGAAAGUAGAGAAUACUAAGGUGUUAGCAGAAAAAUCUUUAGGGAACUCGGCAAAAUUUUUCCAAAAGUUCGCGAUAAGGAAACGUAAGACAUAAAAUCGUUGUGGGCGACUGUUUAUCAAAAACCUAGCUUUUUGCUAACAUGUAAAUGGAUGUAUAAAAAGUGACCCCUGCCCAGUGAUUGUAUCUAAAAUUUUUGAGUGAAAGCUCGGAAUAUAAGGACAAUUUAAUGGCUGCGGUAACCAUAACCGUACAAAGGUAGCGCAAUCAAUAGCCAAUUAAUUGUUGGCAAGUAUGAAUGGGGUAACGAUCUACAAACUGUCCCAAAGAUUUAGCUAGUGAAAUUGAAUUAGUAGUUAAGAUGCUACUUAAUUGUUGCAAGACAAGAAGACCCUACGCAGCUUUACUGUUCUUAUUUUUUGUGAUUUUUAAAUAUUUGUAUAGCAUAAAUGGUAAGUCUAUGAAUUAAUAUCGCCAGAUAUUUAAGGAGACAAGAUUUGUAAUACCAUUCUAAUAUAUUAAAAAUUUACUAAUCAAGUAUUCUUGUAUUUUUUUACAAUUUUUGAUACAAAAAAAUAAUAGACAGUUUUGUUGGGGUGAUAGCCUUUUAAAAUGUAACAAAGGCUUACAAUAGGUCUAUUCAUAAGAUUUUGAAAAUCUUAAUUGAGUAUAAUAGCAUAAAUAGGCUUGACUGCGAGUUUGAUAAAACGAGCAGGUUCGAAAGAAGGUUAUAGUGACCCGCAGGUUCUGUAUGGAAUGGCCUGCGAUCAUAAGUUAAGUUACGCUAGGGAUAACAGCGUUAUUACUUCAAAGAGUUCUUAUCGAUGAAGUAGUUUGCGACCUCGAUGUUGAAUCGCCGCAUCCUGGGUGUUGCAUCAGCUCCCAAGGGUUGGACUGUUCGUCCAUUAAAGCGGUACGUGAUUUGAGUUCAAUUUUUUGCGACAAGAAGUCAUGAAAAAAUAAGGUGAAAUUCCUUAAUUUC
RNAcentral lists this ribosomal RNA (2203 nucleotides) under marine metagenome. Its description in RNAcentral is "bacterial LSU rRNA". It matches the Rfam family "Bacterial large subunit ribosomal RNA". The record is from RNAcentral.